Molecule: long non-coding RNA, 1294 nt
Filed under: Equus caballus (horse)
Lineage: Eukaryota; Metazoa; Chordata; Mammalia; Perissodactyla; Equidae
Description: lncRNA (ENSECAG00000044631.1)
Source: RNAcentral
CCCCAGAGUUCUUUUACCACAGUCUUUGAUGUCUGCAAGUGGAACCAUUUCUCAUUGGUGCUAAGAUGACUGCUUGAUGUAUGGUCAGUGUGGUGACCCUUGGGUCCAGUCCUUCAUCAGUGAUGUCACAAUUAAGACAUGAAAAGCCACAAUUCCGCCUGAGCUCCAUCAUGGACAAAUGUGGUGAUGUCAUCCCUAAGUCAAUGAACUCCCACUGCUUUUCACUCAGCGAAUCCUAAAGAUGUCUCCAGGGAGCCUGGGGUCUGAAAAAGGGGCGACCUCUUCCACCACAUGGCACCUGACAGGAGACUGAGGACAGGGAAGACCACCCCCUCCUGCAGGAACCAGGAUGAGUUCAGACCCCACCUGCAAUGACUGUAGGAGGGCACAGCUGUGGAAGAUCCAUGAGGAUAACCCAGUAAAGGGGCAUUACGUCCCUUCAGAGGGGAAGGCCCAGUGCAGCUGAGAGGCUGUGGACACAGGACUGGACAGAACAGACUCAGCCAAACCUGUGAUGGCUGGAUAUUUAUCAACUGUUAAACGGUUGUAGUCAGUAAUUUCUACGAUGUUGGAGAUGGGGUGUAGAGGUCUCUGUGGUGCAACCAGCGUCAAGUUGAGGUAAACCACUCUGAGGUGUCAAUCAUUCUCUCCAAGUUUAAUAACAGGACAAACUGGGCUAUUAAAAAUAAGCACUGGGAACAAUCAAGCCUUCACUAUCUAGGUUUUCCAAACAGUUGUCAAUCGUUCAAGGCCCCGGGUAAUUUACAAUGGGCCAUGUUAACUACUUGAUUUAUGGGAUAAGGUUUCUGGGGUCCCAAUUUUUCAAGCAAUUUGUAAGUGGCAAAGACUUCAUUCAAUUUUAAUUCUUGCUCAUUGGAUCAGAGCUUCCCAGUUCACUAUUGGACAUUUCAGAACAAUGAGUGUUAUGACCAUGGAGAAUUUAGGCAAAAUCAUAGUUCUGAUGGCUAACGACGAAACAUUUGUCCUACUUGUCCUCUGUAUUAUAUUCAUUAGCACCCCUAAGAUCCUUAAAUUUAGUGGGAUCCCAGGUGUAACUGUAAUUUGACACCUAGUAUUGACUAACUGCUUGAGGUUUCUGAAUCAGUGCAUUACAUCAGAGAGCAAAAUUAAUUCAGAACCUGUUGUACAGGCCCAAAAAUCAAGCAGUGUGCCUUUAUCUGUUUUGUUAUGUAAAUCCUUUCAAUAUAUUCUGGGUUUCCAAUUGGGUCAAAUUGUGGGCCUUUGUUUCAGUAUUUUAUUUUGUUUUCUUCCUCCUGAUCAUUCUUGUUUUGUU